RNAcentral lists this ribosomal RNA (392 nucleotides) under uncultured bacterium. RNAcentral describes it as "bacterial SSU rRNA". It matches the Rfam family "Bacterial small subunit ribosomal RNA", at positions 28 to 410 of the family's 1533-position model. The record is from RNAcentral.
GACGAACGCUGGCGGCGUGCCUAAUACAUGCAAGUUGAGCGAACAUUUGAGAGCUUGCUCUCAAAUGUUAGCGGCGGACGGGUGAGUAACACGUGGGCAACCUGCCUAUAAGACUGGGAUAACUUCGGGAAACCGGAGCUAAUACCGGAUAAUUCACAUCUACUCAUGUAGAUGUGCUGAAAGACGGUUUACGCUGUCACUUAUAGAUGGGCCCGCGGCGCAUUAGCUAGUUGGUGAGGUAACGGCUCACCAAGGCCACGAUGCGUAGCCGACCUGAGAGGGUGAUCGGCCACACUGGGACUGAGACACGGCCCAGACUCCUACGGGAGGCAGCAGUAGGGAAUCUUCCGCAAUGGACGAAAGUCUGACGGAGCAACGCCGCGUGAGUGAUG